UGGGGAAUAUUGCACAAUGGGCGCAAGCCUGAUGCAGCCAUGCCGCGUGUGUGAAGAAGGCCUUCGGGUUGUAAAGCACUUUCAGCGGGGAGGAAGGCGUUAAGGUUAAUAACCUUGGCGAUUGACGUUACCCGCAGAAGAAGCACCGGCUAACUCCGUGCCAGCAGCCGCGGUAAUACGGAGGGUGCAAGCGUUAAUCGGAAUUACUGGGCGUAAAGCGCACGCAGGCGGUCUGUCAAGUCGGAUGUGAAAUCCCCGGGCUCAACCUGGGAACUGCAUUCGAAACUGGCAAGCUUGAGUCUCGUAGAGGGGGGUAGAAUUCCAGGUGUAGCGGUGAAAUGCGUAGAGAUCUGGAGGAAUACCGGUGGCGAAGGCGGCCCCCUGGACGAAGACUGACGCUCAGGUGCGAAAGCGUGGGGAGCAAACAGG
This 429-nucleotide ribosomal RNA is filed under the name Chloroflexota bacterium. RNAcentral describes it as "Chloroflexi bacterium partial 16S ribosomal RNA". It matches the Rfam family "Bacterial small subunit ribosomal RNA", at positions 355 to 776 of the family's 1533-position model. The record is from RNAcentral. Lineage: Bacteria; Bacillati; Chloroflexota.